This 251-nucleotide ribosomal RNA is filed under the name uncultured bacterium. RNAcentral describes it as "partial 16S ribosomal RNA". It matches the Rfam family "Bacterial small subunit ribosomal RNA", at positions 524 to 773 of the family's 1533-position model. The record is from RNAcentral.
UACGUAGGGGGCAAGCGUUGUCCGGAAUUACUGGGCGUAAAGCGCGUGUAGGUGGUGGGACAAGUCUGCUGUGAAAGUGCCUGGCUUAACCGGGCGAGGUCGGCGGAAACUGUCCGACUCGAGGACGGUAGAGGGGGGUGGAAUUCCAGGUGUAGCGGUGAAAUGCGUAGAUAUCAAGAGGAACACCUGAGGCGAAGGCGGGUUGCUGGGCCGACACGUGACGCUGAGGCGCGAAAGCUAGGGGAGCAAAC